Molecule: ribosomal RNA, 336 nt
Filed under: Triticum aestivum (bread wheat)
Lineage: Eukaryota; Viridiplantae; Streptophyta; Magnoliopsida; Poales; Poaceae
Description: partial small subunit ribosomal RNA
Source: RNAcentral
AUGUGGAUCUCACCCAGGCCGACGUCGACGAGACGCGCAAGGCGCUUGAGAGGUCGCCGUCACCGCGCGGAUCGGGAUCGGGCACCGUCCUCAACCCGUCACCACCUCCACCCCGCCACCUCCUCUGCGUCAUCCACCCGGGCCCCAACAACAACAAGGACCUCCACCGUCUCCAUGCCUCGCAGAUCAGCGCCCGCCUCUGCUUCAGGCGCCGCUCCGGCAGCAGAGCGAGCCACAACACCACGACAACUACAUCAAGCCGCCCAAGCACGAUUUUCCGCGCUUCGACGGCACGGCACCGUACCUCAGGCUAGAUCGUUGCCGCGCAUACUUUGA